AGAAAAGCUAUGACGGAGAGAAAAUGUUCAUUGAUUAUCUUCAGAGAGUCAGCGGAUGGUGUGAGCUGAUGUUAAUCGGAAUAUAUAUAUCCACUCCCGAGCUUCCUGCGGAAAGGUUUUGCCGAGUAAGUAAGGACGCAUGCCAGCGAUAUAUGGUUACGGAUUAGCAGUUUUUAUGCUGAUCUUAAUGAGAGGAAGCUUUAUUGCUUCAAAUAGGGUGGAACCGCGGAAGUUAAACUUUCGUCCUUAUA
This 251-nucleotide non-coding RNA is filed under the name Fervidicella metallireducens. RNAcentral's name for it is "T-box sequence". It matches the Rfam family "T-box leader". Rfam says of the family: Uncharged tRNA acts as the effector for transcription antitermination of genes in the T-box leader family. T-boxes are found upstream of many aminoacyl-tRNA synthetase genes and some amino acid biosynthetic genes usually in Gram-positive bacteria. The record is from RNAcentral. Lineage: Bacteria; Bacillati; Bacillota; Clostridia; Eubacteriales; Clostridiaceae.